This 329-nucleotide ribosomal RNA is filed under the name uncultured eukaryote. RNAcentral describes it as "partial 18S ribosomal RNA". It matches the Rfam family "Eukaryotic small subunit ribosomal RNA", at positions 1470 to 1796 of the family's 1831-position model. The record is from RNAcentral.
CCCUUAGAUGUUCUGGGCCGCACGCGCGCUACACUGAUGCAUUCAUCAAGCUUACCACCUCGGCUGAGAAGCCCGGGUAAUCUUUUCAAAGUGCAUCGUGAUGGGGAUAGAUGAUUGCAAUUUUUCAUCUUCAACGAGGAAUUCCUAGUAAACGCAAGUCAUCAGCUUGCAUUGAUUACGUCCCUGCCCUUUGUACACACCGCCCGUCGCUACUACCGAUUGAAUGGUUUGGUGAGCCUCACGGAUUGGCGGCCUCGCUGGCUUCGGCUUGUUUGGCUGUCGAGAAGUGAUGCAAACCUGACUAUUUAGAGGAAGUAAAAGUCGUAACA